RNAcentral lists this long non-coding RNA (1269 nucleotides) under Sphaeramia orbicularis (orbiculate cardinalfish). RNAcentral describes it as "lncRNA (ENSSORG00005019281.1)". The record is from RNAcentral. Lineage: Eukaryota; Metazoa; Chordata; Actinopteri; Kurtiformes; Apogonidae.
AUGCCAUCAAGAAACCAUCUAGAUAAAAUUGGGAGGAGGAAGAAAAAGAAAUGGACAGAGGAAGCCAUGGAACGUGCGCUGACUGAGGUGAAGUCAGGACGCUGCACAGUGCGGCAGGCUGCCAAGGAGUUUGGAGUCCCUAAAUCUUCACUGGGCGACAGAGUGAGUGGGCGGGUGACACCCGGGAGUCGCAGCGGCCCGGCUCAGCUCAUAACAUCUGCAGAUGAGGAGCUGCUGGUGGAGUUCUCCUUAUACAUGUCCAGGCAUGGAUUCCCACUUACAAAGCAACAGCUGGUGUCUUUUGCUUCAUCAAUUUAUAAGCGGCAGCACCGGAGGGUGGCCUUCUCCAAAUUAGGCCAGACCUGGUGGCUCAAUUUUAGAAAGCGGCAAGAAAAGAACAUUACAAUUCAGCCAGCGGAGAGUGUUGUCCGUGGGAGGACAGUGUGUGUGAGGAAAGAAGCGGUGGAUCAGUUUUUUCACUUAUUGAACACUGUCAUGAACACACAUGGGCUCAGGGACAAACCACAUCAAAUCUUCAACUGCAGUGAGACGAGCUUUCAGCUGGGCAGGAAGAGGGUGACUCUUCCCAAACCUGCCAAUCUGGGAUACAAGCCAGCGACAGGCUGCAGGGACCACAUCUCCGUCCUGGCGUGUUUUAGCGCAGCUGGAGAAGAUGUUCCCCCGUUCAUUAUCUACUCGAAGGCCUAUCCAGGGGGCGUGUGCUAUAAGACCCAGGGGCCACCCGGCGCCCUCUAUGGGUGGUCAGACUCAGGUUGUGUCAACUCCGAACUCUUCAAGAAGUGGUUUCUCAAGCACUUCCUUGUUCAUGCACCUAAGGAACGUCCGUUGCUGCUUAUUUUUGAUGGACACAAGUCGCCUGUGAAUCUGGAGGUGGUGGAAGCCGCCCGCAAGGAGGACGUCAUACUGUUGUGUCUUCCGCCUCAUUGCUCGCACAUCCUGCAGCCGCUGGAUGUGGGACUGUUCGUGCUCCUGAAGCAGCGUUUUGCAGCACUGAUAGGUGAUGGUUGUACCAGUGGUACUCACUUUGCAGUCAGCAAAAAGGAGUUCUCAGGUGUGUUUAAGGGCACAUAUCAGGUCGCAAAGGAAGAGGAGGGUGUCAGGACUGUAAAGGACGGCUUUAGGAACUGUGGUAUUUACCCACUGAACCACUUUGCAGUCAAUGAGGCUCAUUUAAUGCCAUCACACAGCAUGGAUCCAUCAGCUGGAUCCACUGUAGGAGACUUGACAGAGGCCGGACCCUCCUCCUAG